GAUGAAGAACGUAGCGAAAUGCGAUAAGUAAUGUGAAUUGCAGAAUUCAGUGAAUCAUCGAAUCUUUGAACGCACAUUGCGCCCGCCAGUAUUCUGGCGGGCAUGCCUGUUCGAGCGUCAUUUCCACCAUCAGGCCCCCGGGCCUGUGUUGGGGACCUGCGGCUGCCCGCAGGCCCCGAAAUUCAGUGGCGGUCGCGCCGUAGCAACCGAGCGUAGUAACUAAAACGUCUCGCUCUGGCUCGCUGGGCGCGCUCCGGCCGUAAAACACCCCCCCUUUUCGCAAGGGUUGACCUCGGAUCAGGUAGGAAUACCCGCUGAACUUUAGCAUAUCAAUAAGCGGAGGA
This 344-nucleotide unclassified non-coding RNA is filed under the name soil metagenome. Its description in RNAcentral is "partial contains 5.8S ribosomal RNA, internal transcribed spacer 2, and large subunit ribosomal RNA". The stretch from base 1 to 120 matches the Rfam family "5.8S ribosomal RNA", at positions 35 to 154 of the family's 154-position model. The record is from RNAcentral.